AGAUGGGUAGGCCUAUUACUAUUAUUGGUAUUAUUGUUAAUGUUAUGUUAGGUGAGCACACUCACUGACAGUGACACUCACACUCACGGGCCAUCAUGGCCAUGGCCAUGCAGACGCAGUGACAGUGUGGGCUAUUAUAUAUCACAUAAACUGUGAGAUGCAAACUUGUGAUAUCGUGAUAUGGGUAGGUAAUCAUUAAGUGCAUCUCACGGUUUAUAUUAUAAGCCCACAGUGUGACGACAAUCACAAUUGAAUAAUGUCGAUGCCAAAAUCAUGAAAUGCGAGUAUCGUAUAGCGAGGCUAUAGUUUUGUCCAAGUUUGUUACGAACUGACUACGGGUACGGCAGCCGUAUCCCCAAUAUGAAAUUGAAUUAAAUGCCGAAUUUUCAUCGUUUACUGAACUUGAAAAGGCAAAAAGAAUAUAUGAAGAUGUAAACUUUUGCAAGAUGUAUACUCGGAGGUCUCGAACGAUCGAGAAGUGCCUGAAACGGACGCCGAAGCGGCACUUUAAUCCACAACUGCAGUUUGGCGACCUGCCGUACGAAUAGCCAAAAAAUGUUCAGAUACGGCUGCCGUACUAUAAAAACCUAAACGGCAGUGGCAGUGACGUAACCGGAGGUGAAUGCUUUUGCGCAUGCUCAGAUCACUGCCGUACGAAUAGCCAAAAAAUGUUCAGAUACGGCUGCCGUACCCGUAUCCUCGGCCAAGUUGUUAUGUAAACUUGGAAAUCUGGACUUUUACUACAUUACAUUGCAAAUACAUUACAGUCAUAGGCUUACUCUGAAAAGGUUCCCUUCAAACUUUUCAAACAAAAUUGGCAUUUGGAUUGUGAAAAAAAAGGAUGCAACUGUGACUCUUUCCCGUUUCCCUCUCUCUGCAACCAAACAAUGGAGAGAAUAAAGUUUUAAUCCUUCUCGUAUUGUUCUGGACACUCUCCACGCAUGCGAGGAGUUUGGUCAGGGUCUUUCUCGAAACUGUCUAUUGUACUGCCACAUCGUGAGAAGAUGAUGGUAUGGUACAAAUGUAGAUAGCCAUGGUAUCUAGCACUGCAUUUACAGAAGCUUAGCAGCCCACCCGGCCUUCAUGUAGGCCUACCGGUACAUUGAUUUAGUUAAUGAAUUAUGAGUGACUUCCUCACGCACGCUGUUAUUGUAACUGAACCACUGAGGACCAGGAAUGCUUAUUAAAAGUGGACCCACAAUGAUUAUGAUGACAGUACAGUACUGCCACUUUUUAAAGGGUAAUUAAAUUAGCGCCAUGUCUGCAUGACAGAAAUAGUAAAAUGGGGAUACAAAGCAGACCUGGCGAUAUAUUAUCGUGCAAUGUUAGCAUCAUUGGGAAUUGCCAUUCUAAAUUUUAACUUCUUCAUCUUUGCGAAAAUUCGGGCUGCAUAGCAGCCAUCUUUUAAAUCUUUUUUCUGAUUUCAUUGCCAAUGGUUGUAUGCAGAGGUACAAAUAAUACCCAAAAGAUUCAGGAGCAGAUACACUGCCACUAAAAGUGACUGACAAUAAUCUUCAGAUUGUGGCAUGUGACCUCUUUGCUAGACCGUCUGACCCAGAUUUGUUUGCCUUCUCUUUUACAGGCUGCACCAGCAAGUAGGCCUGAGGCAACUUCUCAACCUGUGAACAAUAGGAAGUCAGUCAAAGCUAAGGUAUGUGUGUGACCAAGUUUCCAUCACCGAAUUCUUUUUAGACCUUGAGAUUGUUCGGACUUAACUUGUCAUGUCCAAUCUGUCAUCAUGACUUUAUGGGAAAACCUGUGGCAUGUUUGUCAAGGUUCCGCAGCAAAACAUCCCCAUAGCAUAAUGCUGCCACCUCCGUGCUUCACAGUCGGUACGGUGUUCUUUGGAUAACCCCCCCCCCCCCAUUUUGCCAACGUACUGCUGGUAGUUGUGGCCGAAGACUUCGCUUUUAGUCUCAUCAGACCAAAGAACACUCCUCCAGAAGGCUCUGUAUUUGCCCACAUGUUCUCUCGCAAAGUUCAGCCUUGCUUCCCGGUAGCGUUUUUGAAGUAAAGGCUUCUUUCUUGCCCUGCAGCCUCGUAGUCCACUACGAUGCAAGACCUUCUGGACAGUGGACAGUGACACAUUUGUCUCUGUAGCUUCUAAUUCCUGGCAGAGGUGUUUCUUGGUCGUCUCGGGGUUAAUGUGCACCUUUCUAACCAAUGUGGGCUCAUCUUUGGCUGUCAGCUUGCGCUUUCUUCCUGACCUUGGUAAGGUUGCUGUUGUCCCUGGGUCCCUGUACUUCCGCUUUAUUGUCUGAACUGACGCCCGUGGCAUAUCAAGCUGCUUGAAAAUGGCUCUUAGUGAAGUACCAGACUGGUUCAAGUGGACAGGCGACUCUAUCAGAUCUUGAGAGUACUCCUUUGACCCCAUGAUGGCUCUAGUCUAAGCUGGCAAAUGACCUGAGCAGAAACCCAGUCCAUUUUAUACUGCUACAGUGGCGCCACCUGAGCUAUGACAUAAUCAUGAUGGUCAACAGGUAGUGGAGACAAGAUAAAAGCCAUUGCAUUGCCCACCUCAAGGCCAAACAACUAGUAGAUAAGAAAAGAAAAGCCAGCAAGGGAAAAGCAAGCAAGGCGAAGGGAGACUAUUGCGCAGCUGAGAGAAUAGACAACUACGACCCCAAAAACAACACGUAUUACAUAAAGUGGCAAGGAUAUGAUGCGUCCCACAACUCAUGGGUAAAAGCGGAAGACGUAACUUCUCCUCUCAUCUCUUCUUACAAAGAAAAAUUAGGUUUCGGAACGCACAAGAAGUGAUGCACCUCAUGUCUUUCGAUUGUUGAACAAAUUUAUGUGAAUUUGUGCAAAUCCUCCUGCCUGUGUUUUUUUGUUCAGUGGAAUUCACGUAUUUCGGUAUUCCUUCUUCACCUCCACGCAUUAUUCAUUCUGACAUAAACUCACAUGAUCACUUUUGAUGAAAGAUUACAUAAUGGAUAAUAUUGAAUUCGUGCAAAUAUUGUACAAUGUAAACUUAUCAUAUCUUUCAAAGGUCUCAUUAAAAGUAAAUGUAAGUUACAUGUACAUGUACUGUGGAAUUAUUGUUUUUUCAGACAAUCUGUGGCUGUUGUAUACAUGUAUCAUUCAAUAAACGUGGCAUUUUUCAUAUUAU
Lineus longissimus is the source of this 3112-nucleotide RNA transcript. RefSeq lists it as uncharacterized. The record is from RefSeq and is a predicted model, not a curated record. The transcript is spliced from 4 exons. Lineage: Eukaryota; Metazoa; Nemertea; Pilidiophora; Heteronemertea; Lineidae.